Molecule: long non-coding RNA, 138 nt
Organism: Aricia agestis (brown argus)
Lineage: Eukaryota; Metazoa; Arthropoda; Insecta; Lepidoptera; Lycaenidae
Exons: 3
Source: RefSeq, a predicted model, not a curated record
CUUAAAUAAAAAGUUUUAUUUCUUGUUGUAUUACUUAAUAAAUUUAAUUUGCAACUUUCGGAUUUGUCUCGACAGAGAUGGUUUUAAUUCGUUAUAUAAUGUUUGUUUUAUCUUUUAAGACUGUUAUGAUAUUAUUAU